This 1308-nucleotide ribosomal RNA is filed under the name Triticum aestivum (bread wheat). RNAcentral describes it as "partial small subunit ribosomal RNA". Lineage: Eukaryota; Viridiplantae; Streptophyta; Magnoliopsida; Poales; Poaceae. The record is from RNAcentral.
AUGAAGACAUGCGUGGCCGUGGUGAAUCAAGCUAAGCUUGAGAUGCACGCGACCAAAUCCGAAGCUUUUUUUUUUACAUUCCAAAUCCGAAGCUUGAACCGACUCGGAGUGCAUUCCGAUUUCUUCACGAUCACUCACAUCAGCACACGGCUUCGAUCUCAGCACAUAUCACUUCACAAGUUAAAAGGCCUUGCCCUCUGUCUUCUCCAGCGCACUUCCAAUCUUCCCCAUCGUCUCCUCUCCUCUCCUCCACCGCAUCCUCUCGCAUCUUCCGCUGUUCCCAUGGAGAUUGCCGACUGGAACCGGGAGCCCUUCAGCUUCAGCAUCAUGUCCGGCUCCCGCCGAAAGCGCCCGCGCCCGCUGGAGAUCCUUCGCCAGCGGUUCCAGUCAGAGCUCGCCGAGGCGGCCACCGUGCUUCCCGCCUCGUCCCCGUCGGCUCCCCGCGUGCGCGUCAAGGACGAUCGUCCAGCCGAGGAGCCCCCAGCCAAGAAGAGGAAGGCGUCCCAUGCCGUUCCCGUGAAGAAGAUGACGUCCAAGGAGCGGAACCAACUCUACGGGGACCUCACCAAGCUAGCCAAGCUGUCUGAAUCCCAUGUACUCCCUGCUCAUAUCCUGGAGCUGCUGAAGAAGCACAGCCGCCGCGGCAUCUGCCACGAUUACAUCAAGAUCGAGAUGCUCGACGUCCAAGACGAGGCCCUUGUGGAGAUGCAGAAGCAGCUGGACAAGUUCCUUCGAGAGAGGGCGAAUCCAUCGACGCAUCAUCAACACAAACAGAUGAUGGCCCAAGAGGAGGAGGAGGACGAAGACGUUGACAUCGUCGGCGGCGUCUCCCCUUUGCCGAUGCCAGUGCAGCUCGUCCAAGACAUCUGCGGCGACGCCUCACCGGUGAAGAAUCUUGGCCAAGGUGAAAACAUCAGCGGCAGCAGCGGUUCGGAUUCUGAUUCAUCUCACCAGAGCGUCGACAGUCGUCCAGCUCCGGCAGAGCGCGCCGCCAACACUACGCCUCCAACGCGCGACCUGAUCGCCCGUGCCAACGAGAUUUUGGAAAGGCGGCGAAAGGAGGAGACGUCCCGGGCGAGGGAGAAGGCCCGACAGGAGGUGCUCGAGAUGGAGAGGGCGGCAAUGCCGAAGGACACCCUAGACGAGGACGUGAAGGCCCUCAGCAUUGAUCAGCACAACACGGCCAGGCCUGACAACUUGUUGCGACGGAUUGGACUCUUCCUCAGGCUUGACGACCACGACUUGAAGCAGCAGCAUCAUAAUCAAAGCUUCCAAGAAGAUUUAGAGGAAGGGGAGAUUCGGUUGUGA